This 260-nucleotide ribosomal RNA is filed under the name uncultured bacterium. Its description in RNAcentral is "partial 16S ribosomal RNA". The record is from RNAcentral.
CUGCUGCCUUCCGUAGGAGUCUGGUCCGUGUCUCAGUACCAGUGUGGGGGACCUUCCUCUCAGAACCCCUAUCCAUCGUGGACUUGGUGAGCCGUUACCUCACCAACUAUCUAAUGGAACGCAUGCCCAUCUAUCAGCGAUAAUUCUUUAACAAAUAUUUCCAUGUGGAACCCCUGUUUUAUGCGGUAUUAGUCCGACUUUCGCCGGUUAUUCCCUCUGAUAGGUAGGUUGCAUACGCGUUACUCACCGUGCGCCGGUCG